GCAGGUUCAAAACCCAAUAACUACAUAUUUUUCCUUCUUUUUGUUUUUAAUGUAUUUUCUGUUAUUUUUUUGGUUUUUUUUUCUAUUUUUCAUUUGUUUUCCUCUUUUCGUUUUUAAUAUACUUUCUGUUAUUUUUUCGUUUUUUUCUUUCUAUUUUUUCAUUUUGUUCUACUUUUGUCUCAUUGUUUUAUUACUAUUUUUUUGUGUUUAUUUUUUAAUUUGUGCUUUUUUAAUGUCUAUUCUUUUUUAUUUUUUUAUAUUUAUUUAUUUAUUUCUAUGUUAUUUCAAAGUAAAUAUUUGUUUUUAAUGUAUUUUCUGUUAUUUUUUUGGUUUUUUUUCUAUUUUUUUUAAUUUGUGCUUUUUUAAUGUCUAUUCUUUUUUAUUUUUUUAUAUUUAUUUAUUUAUUUCUGAGUUAUUUCAAAGUAAAUAUCGUUAUGAUGAAAAGUAAUUAUAUUCAUGAAGAAAUGUAAUAUUUUUAAAACAUUACCUUUCUUUAUAUCAACAAUUUUCGUGUAAAAAGUAACAAUUUUAAAAUAUUACAUUUAUUCAUAUGAAUAAUUACUUUUUAUUAAGACAAUAUUUACUUUUAAUAAGUAUAAAAUAUACAUUUGUUAACAC
Molecule: long non-coding RNA, 618 nt
Filed under: Salvia miltiorrhiza (redroot sage)
Lineage: Eukaryota; Viridiplantae; Streptophyta; Magnoliopsida; Lamiales; Lamiaceae
Description: long non-coding RNA (SMIL_LNC001068)
Source: RNAcentral